RNAcentral lists this ribosomal RNA (491 nucleotides) under uncultured bacterium. RNAcentral's name for it is "partial 16S ribosomal RNA". It matches the Rfam family "Bacterial small subunit ribosomal RNA", at positions 29 to 506 of the family's 1533-position model. The record is from RNAcentral.
AGUGAACGCUGGCGGUAGGCCUAACACAUGCAAGUCGAACGGCAGCACAGUAAGAGCUUGCUCUUACGGGUGGCGAGUGGCGGACGGGUGAGGAAUACAUCGGAAUCUACUUUUUCGUGGGGGAUAACGUAGGGAAACUUACGCUAAUACCGCAUACGGCCUACGGGUGAAAGCAGGGGAUCUUCGGACCUUGCGCGAUUGAAUGAGCCGAUGUCGGAUUAGCUAGUUGGCGGGGUAAAGGCCCACCAAGGCGACGAUCCGUAGCUGGUCUGAGAGGAUGAUCAGCCACACUGGAACUGAGAAACGGUCCAGACUCCUACGGGAGGCAGCAGUGGGGAAUAUUGGACAAGGGGCGCAAGCCUGAUCCAGCCAGACCGCGGGGGUGAAGAAGGCCUUCGGGUUGUAAAGCCCUUUUGUUGGGAAAGAAAAGCAGCAGGUUAAUACCCCGCUGUUCUGACGGUACCCAAAGAAUAAGCACCGGCUAACUUCGU